CUCUCAGCGGACGCUGAGUCUGGACUGCUCAGCAGUGGCCUGCUAGCUGGGGCUCUGCCGCAGGGUCUCAGGUGAGGGGCUCCGGGGCGCCUGGGGAGAGGGAAGAGGGGAGGCCUGCAGGCAGAACGCGCUCCAGGGCGGUGGGCAAGCCUGCUUCUCCAGAGCACUUUUCCUCGCACCCUUCCUCCCACCGCGUUACAGCGGCAGAACCAGAGCCCUGGAGCAGCAUGGCUUCCGCUAGGGUGAGUGACAGCAAGAGAUGGGGGAAGGCUGGGCCCUGGAGAGUCCUAUCUCCCCUGUCCCCUCUCCCAUCAGCCCAUCCUCCACCCCUGCUGACUGGCCACUUGCAUCUGCCUCUGUCCCACCCUCCCUGGGCCAAAGUGGGGGACCCUCCGGGGAGAUGGGCCUUGAAGGCCUGUGGCCCCUGCAGUCAGCAGGGUCCCCUCUCACCUGGAUCCGGGGUGGCGGCGGGGAGUGCUCUGCUCUCUCUACCCCGACAUUCUGAACAGCUCCUGACACAGACCCUAUACCCGCCCUUUGCUCUGAGCCCUCUCCUUUAUUUCUUUUGGAAAGUUCUCAGCUGGACUUCAACUAUUUAUUUUCUCUCCAUUUCUAAAAGAGUUUGUGCACAAAGAUUUCUCUCUCUCUUUCUGUCUCGUUCUCUCUCCCUCUCUUUAUUCUAAGUUUUAAUUUUGUGUGGGAAUAGAGACGAGUAACAACGCUGUGAUAGUUUCAGGUAAGGAGCGAAGGGACUCAGCCGUGCAUAUACCCGUAUCCAUUCUCCCCAGAGUCCCCCCGCCCUAGAGCCCUAUCCUUAGGCAGCAGGUCCUGGCUCUGGGGAGGCAUUCCUGCUGGAGGACAGGUAUGGCAGCAGCUCUGUGGAGGUCCUAGUGGGCCGGUCUGGGCUGCAGAGGACUGAGGAACCAGAGUCAUGGGACAUGGAGUCAUUUUAGGAACUAGAGUCCACAUUCUGGUGAGAGAGCUGCAAAUGGAGGGUCUCCAGAGUCAGAGGACUCAGUCGUCUCUCGGGACCCUUUCUACAGCCUGGAAACCCGGGAGCAAAGGCGUGUGGUUUUUCUCUGGAAACUGAAAGCAUCCCUCUCAGGGCCUGGAUCAGCAGUUGAAGGCACGCUAAGCUUUCCCCCUGCACUUUGCACCACUCCCCCACCUCAAUUCAAGCAUGAUAGAUGCUCAGGGGCUCUGGGCCAUGGCACACCGGUGUCUCGGCGUGGUCAUCUGGGCUGACCCAGGCUGAGCGGCCAGGCCCUGUGAGAGCAGGAUGCGGGCUGCAGAGUGUUCCCACGGACCAGCGAGGUGUUUCCUUGCCCAGUCGUGUGUGAUGCUGGGCUGACAGGAUGGGCCCCCCGGACACAGGGUGUUCAGACAGGAGCCCUGCACUUGCUGUGAGCCGCACUGACCACCCCGGGCCAGGAGGGCAGCGGGGACAGUGCCAGAUUCCGCACCAUUAUGUGGAGUCUUUGGGAGGGGUCUGUGGGGCGCCUCCCACCUCCAUAAUGGAGUCAAGUGUCUGGAGGGGAAGGGGCUGGGGGCCGGCGUUCUGUACGUUCAGAGGUUGGGAAGACUGACCACUGACUUCAACCAGGAGUGGAGACUGCACACUUCCUUUCCCCAGGAGGAACUCAGCGGAGACCCUUUUGAAUUCCUGGAUAAUACCCUCAACACAACCUUUUGGUGAGUAGGAGCCACUGUCUCAGUGCCUUCCUUCCCCUCUCCACUGGUCUCUCUUGUCCCUGGGGCUGCUGCAGGUGCACAGAGGUCCAAGGAGUGGGGAAUGAAGGGGGGUCCCUGAAAUCUCAGGUGGUACAGCCUUGCUGGCAUCAGCCUCCCCACUCAGCGCAUAGUGGCCAGAGCCCUGGACUCAGCUUCCUGCUCUGAGCCCCGUGGGCCUGGUGCUGGGUUCAGAGGCUAACCACCUACAGGCAGGUACAACCAAGCACCAGGAUUCGUUCUUCGAGGGGAACCGAGGGGCCAGGCCCAGUCUCUGGGAGAAGUCUUUGGGUCUGCAGAGCUGUUGAUUGGAAGGCAAGCAGUUUGCAUUCAUGGGCUUCUGAAUCCCAGCGUCUCCCAAAGGCUGGGAGGCGUCAGUCAGGUCAGGACCAGGGUCUGCCUUGCCCAGGGCGGGUCCUGGACAGCCGCCCAUUCCUGCAGGAAUCCCUGCAGGGUCCAGUCCCUUGCUUAAGGAAGCGCCGCAAGGACUGUGCCCCAGAUUCCAGGACGCUUGCUCUCUGUCUCUCUGGAUUCCAGAAUCCGGAAGAGAACAUCUGGGUCAGAGCCCUGCGGUGGUUCCAAGGCAUUCUGCAGAGUCUCCAGCAGCGGUGUUGGGAUGUGCUGACCUGGCUGCAGGAGAAGGCGGUGGCCUUCCUAGAGGCCGUCUGCAGUGCGGUGCCCUUCAAGGAUAUCAGAAGUUCCACUGUGUCCCCAAAUUCCUAUGCUGAAGUCCUCUGAAUGCCACGUCAUCUGGAGGUGGUCUUUACAAGGAAUCAAGGUAAAUGAGGUCCUUGGGUGGGGCCUAAUCCAUUAUGACUGGUGACCUUAUGAAAAUGGGGAUUAGGAGACACAUACACGUCUGGAGAGGGUGCUGUGUGGACGUGGAGAUGGCCGUCUACAAGCCUAGGAGAGACCUGGAACACAGGCUUCCCUCAGGGCUCUCAGAGGAUCCAUACCUGCUGACACCUUGAUCUCAACUUCUAGGCUCCACCGUGAGAGAAUAAAUGUGUGUUGUUGAU
Capra hircus (goat) is the source of this 2747-nucleotide long non-coding RNA. RefSeq lists it as uncharacterized. The record is from RefSeq and is a predicted model, not a curated record. NCBI's taxonomy places the organism in Eukaryota, Metazoa, Chordata, Mammalia, Artiodactyla, Bovidae. The transcript is spliced from 2 exons.